RNAcentral lists this ribosomal RNA (489 nucleotides) under uncultured bacterium. RNAcentral's name for it is "partial 16S ribosomal RNA". It matches the Rfam family "Bacterial small subunit ribosomal RNA", at positions 29 to 507 of the family's 1533-position model. The record is from RNAcentral.
AGUGAACGCUGGCGGUAGGCCUAACACAUGCAAGUCGAACGGCAGCACAGUAAGAGCUUGCUCUUACGGGUGGCGAGUGGCGGACGGGUGAGGAAUACAUCGGAAUCUACUUUUUCGUGGGGGAUAACGUAGGGAAACUUACGCUAAUACCGCAUACGACCUACGGGUGAAAGCAGGGGAUCUUCGGACCUUGCGCGAUUGAAUGAGCCGAUGUCGGAUUAGCUAGUUGGCGGGGUAAAGGCCACCAAGGCGACGAUCCGUAGCUGGUCUGAGAGGAUGAUCAGCCACACUGGAACUGACACGGUCCAGACUCCUACGGGAGGCAGCAGUGGGGAAUAUUGGACAAUGGGCGCAAGCCUGAUCCAGCCAUACCGCGUGGGUGAAGAAGGCCUUCGGGUUGUAAAGCCCUUUUGUUGGGAAAGAAAAGCAGCAGGUUAAUACCCCGCUGUUCUGACGGUACCCAAAGAAUAAGCACCGGCUAACUUCGUG